GACGAACGCUGGCGGCGUGCUUAACACAUGCAAGUCGAACGGAAAGGCCCUGCUUUUGUGGGGUGCUCGAGUGGCGAACGGGUGAGUAACACGUGAGUAACCUGCCCUUGACUUUGGGAUAACUUCAGGAAACUGGGGCUAAUAUCGGAUAGGAGCUCCUGCUGCAUGGGGGGGGUUGGAAAGUUUCGGCGGUUGGGGAUGGACUCGCGGCUUAUCAGCUGGUUGGUGGGGUAGUGGCUUACCAAGGCUUUGACGGGUAGCCGGCCUGAGAGGGUGACCGGCCACCUUGGGCCUGAGGUACGGACCAGACUCCUACGGGACGCAGCAGUGGGGAAUAUUGCACAAUGGGCGGAAGCCUGAUGCAGAGACGCCGCGUGCGGGAUGACGGCCUUCGGGUUGUGAACCGCUUUCGCCUGUGACGAAGCGUGAGUGACGGUAAUGGGUAAAGAAGCACCGGCUAACUACGUG
Molecule: ribosomal RNA, 468 nt
Filed under: uncultured bacterium
Lineage: Bacteria
Description: partial 16S ribosomal RNA
Rfam family: Bacterial small subunit ribosomal RNA
Source: RNAcentral